This 202-nucleotide small nucleolar RNA is filed under the name Echinops telfairi (small Madagascar hedgehog). RNAcentral's name for it is "Small nucleolar RNA SNORA74 (ENSETEG00000022778.1)". It matches the Rfam family "Small nucleolar RNA SNORA74". Rfam says of the family: U19 belongs to the H/ACA class of snoRNAs. snoRNAs bind a number of proteins (including dyskerin, Gar1p and Nop10p in the case of the H/ACA class) to form snoRNP complexes. This class are thought to guide the sites of modification of uridines to pseudouridines by forming direct base pairing interactions with substrate RNAs. Lineage: Eukaryota; Metazoa; Chordata; Mammalia; Afrosoricida; Tenrecidae. The record is from RNAcentral.
CCCAAUGGUUGUCAGCUGUCCAGGCUAGCACGAUGCCUGUGACGGUGUUACACUGUGGGAAGGGCAAGCGCUGCCCAGUGGGGUCUGGCUCCAAGCACCCUUUCAGGGUUGGGGUGGCCUGUCCCAUUGGGCAACAUCUUGCACCUAUUGGGAGUGGAAUGGCUCCUCCUGUGGAGCUGGUCCUAGUCUGUAUGCAAACAUU